RNAcentral lists this ribosomal RNA (254 nucleotides) under uncultured bacterium. Its description in RNAcentral is "partial 16S ribosomal RNA". It matches the Rfam family "Bacterial small subunit ribosomal RNA", at positions 524 to 776 of the family's 1533-position model. The record is from RNAcentral.
UACGUAGGGUGCGAGCGGUGUCCGGAAUUAUUGGGCGUAAAGAGCUCGUAGGCGGUGUGUCACGUCGGCCGUGAAAACCUGCAGCUUAACUGUGGGCGUGCGGUCGAUACGGGCAUCACUGGAGUUCGGCAGGGGAGACUGGAAUUCCUGGUGUAGCGGUGAAAUGCGCAGAUAUCAGGAGGAACACCGGUGGCGAAGGCGGGUCUCUGGGCCGAUACUGACGCUGAGGAGCGAAAGCGUGGGGAGCAAACAGG